UACAGAGGUCUCAAGCGUUGUUCGGAUUCAUUGGGCGUAAAGGGUGCGUAGGCGGCGCGGUAAGUCGGGUGUGAAAUCCUGGAGCUCAACUCCAGAACUGCCUUUGAUACUGGCGAUCUCGAGUCCGGGAGAGGUGAGUGGAACUGCGAGUGUAGAGGUGAAAUUCGUAGAUAUUCGCAAGAACACCAGUGGCGAAGGCGGCUCACUGGCCCGAUACUGACGCUGAGGCACGAAAGCGUGGGGAGCAAACAGG
This 253-nucleotide ribosomal RNA is filed under the name uncultured bacterium. Its description in RNAcentral is "partial 16S ribosomal RNA". It matches the Rfam family "Bacterial small subunit ribosomal RNA", at positions 524 to 776 of the family's 1533-position model. The record is from RNAcentral.